AACGAACGCUGGCGGCAUGCCUAACACAUGCAAGUCGAACGAAGCCUUCGGGCUUAGUGGCGCACGGGUGCGUAACGCGUGGGAAUCUGCCCUUGGGUUCGGAAUAACAGUUAGAGAUGACUGCUAAUACCGGAUGAUGUCUUCGGACCAAAGAUUUACCGCCCAAGGAUGAGCCCGCGUAGGAUUAGGUAGUUGGUGGGGUAAUGGCCCACCAAGCCGACGAUCCUUAGCUGGUCUGAGAGGAUGAUCAGCCACACUGGGACUGAGACACGGCCCAGACUCCUACGGGAGGCAGCAGUGGGGAAUAUUGGACAAUGGGCGAAAGCCUGAUCCAGCAAUGCCGCAUGAGUGAUGAAGGCCUUAGGGUUGUAAAGCUCUUUUACCAGGGAUGAUAAUGACAGUACCUGGAGAAUAAGCUCCGGCUAACUCCGUGCCAGCCGCCGCCGUAA
Molecule: ribosomal RNA, 449 nt
Filed under: uncultured bacterium
Lineage: Bacteria
Description: partial 16S ribosomal RNA
Rfam family: Bacterial small subunit ribosomal RNA
Source: RNAcentral